RNAcentral lists this ribosomal RNA (253 nucleotides) under uncultured bacterium. Its description in RNAcentral is "partial 16S ribosomal RNA". It matches the Rfam family "Bacterial small subunit ribosomal RNA", at positions 524 to 776 of the family's 1533-position model. The record is from RNAcentral.
UACGAAGGGGGCUAGCGUUGCUCGGAAUCACUGGGCGUAAAGCGCACGUAGGCGGAUUGUUAAGUCAGGGGUGAAAUCCUGGAGCUCAACUCCAGAACUGCCUUUGAUACUGGCGAUCUUGAGUCCGGGAGAGGUGAGUGGAACUGCGAGUGUAGAGGUGAAAUUCGUAGAUAUUCGCAAGAACACCAGUGGCGAAGGCGGCUCACUGGCCCGGUACUGACGCUGAGGCGCGAAAGCUAGGGUAGCAAACGGG